Non-coding RNA from Octopus bimaculoides (California two-spot octopus), 102 nucleotides. The record is from Rfam. NCBI's taxonomy places the organism in Eukaryota, Metazoa, Mollusca, Cephalopoda, Octopoda, Octopodidae.
UCGCUUCAGCAGCACAUAUUAUAUAAUUGAAACAAUACAGAGAAGAUUAGUAUGGCCCAGUGCAACAAUGACACGCAAAUUCGUGAAGUGUUCCAUAUGUUU